GAAGAUGAAAUGAGUAAUUCAAGCUUACAAAUGCUCCAAAAUUCUCAAUCAAUAUUUCUCCAGAGUUUUCGCACGUUUUAGAGUUUCUUGAUAGCGCCCAAACGCACACGCAAGUGUACAUGGUCUUAUCAAGUAAUAUAGUAUCUUCAAAGAAGCCUAAGUAUCGAUCUCUUAGGGACUUGCGUUCGUCGUCUAUCUAAUUCU
This 204-nucleotide long non-coding RNA is filed under the name Capsicum annuum. RNAcentral's name for it is "long non-coding RNA (CANN_LNC002703)". Lineage: Eukaryota; Viridiplantae; Streptophyta; Magnoliopsida; Solanales; Solanaceae. The record is from RNAcentral.